This 299-nucleotide long non-coding RNA is filed under the name Carica papaya (papaya). Its description in RNAcentral is "long non-coding RNA (CPAP_LNC008977)". Lineage: Eukaryota; Viridiplantae; Streptophyta; Magnoliopsida; Brassicales; Caricaceae. The record is from RNAcentral.
GACUGUGAAAGUAAAAUUAUAACUUUGCGAUCUUCAAAAAAGAAAUAAAAGUUGUUGUUAUCAUUUUUCUAACAAUUGAAUGAACAGGAAUAUGGAUGCUAAUCCUACUGUGUGUUCCAUAUCAAUUCUUUGCAAUUUUUCUGAUGUCUUUCCCAUCAAACUUUUUAGUCUACCUCCCCCACUUGAAGCAGAGUUCUUUGAUCGAAUUAUUGCUUGGGACCCAACUGAUCUCGAAGCCUGUGUAUCGCAUGAGCCACAUUGAGCUAACAGAGCUGGAACAUUAGCUUUCUGAUCUUAUC